This 1149-nucleotide ribosomal RNA is filed under the name Typhlocybinae gen. 1 sp. 1 BY-2021a. RNAcentral's name for it is "16S ribosomal RNA". Lineage: Eukaryota; Metazoa; Arthropoda; Insecta; Hemiptera; Cicadellidae. The record is from RNAcentral.
UAUAAAUUAUUUGUUUCAUUAUUAUUAUUAUUUUUUAUUAGUAUAACAAUAAAUUUUUUAUUAAAUUUUCUGAUAUGGAUUAUUAAUAUUUUUAUAUUAUAAUUUUUUAUUACCUUUUGUAUCAGGGUUUAUUUAUUUAUUAAAUUAUUUGUCUUUCCCGAAUUGAAAAGUUCAUAUUGAUUUUUAUUUUUAUUGUUUCAUAACUUUAUUAAAAUUUUAUUUUGUAGAAAAAUUCUAUUCGAUUUUCAUUUUAUCUGGUUUCCUUAGAUUAAAUUAAAUUUUAAAUCUUUUGUUAAGUUUUUAUUUAAUAAGGGAUAAUCUUUAUUAUUUUUUAAAAUUUAUUUUAAUUAAAUUAUAUUAACCUUAGAAUUUUGUAUUGAGUUAUUAAUAUAUUAUUUUUUUUUUGUGAAUAUUUAUUUAAAUUUAUUUUUUUAUAAGGUUAAAUUUAUUUAUUAAUUAUUUAAUUUUAAUAAUGAUUUAAUUAGUAAAAUUUUAUUUUAAUGAUUAAUGAAUUCGACAAUUUUAAUUUUCAACUGUUUAUCAAAAACAUUUUUUUUAGAUUAUAUUAAAGAUAUAUUCUGCCCUAUGAUUGGUUUUAAAUGGCUGCAGUAUAUUAACUGUACAAAGGUAGCAUAAUAAUUAGUUUUUUAAUUGAGGACUGGAAUGAAAGAUUUUAUGAAGAGUUAAUUUUAUUAUUUAUAAAUUUUUAAUUUUAUUUUUAGGUAAAAAAGCUUAAUAAAUAUUUAGGGACGAAAAGACCCUAUAGAACUUUAUAUAAAUUUAUUUAGUUUAGAUUUAAAUCUAAUUUUUAAUUAUAGCUUUAUAUUCCGUUGGGGUGACGAAUAAAUUAAUCUUUAUUUAGGCUUUACAUUAAUUUAUGUUUUCUAGACUUAUUUUUUAUUUUAAGAAAAAGUUACCUUAGGGAUAACAGCGUAAUUAUAAUGGUAAGUUCAUAUUUAUAUUAUAGUUUGCGACCUCGAUGUUGAAUUAAGAAAAAUAAAGGAAGAAGAAUUUUUUUUAUUAAGUCUGUUCGACUUUUAAAUUCUUACAUGAUUUGAGUUCAAACCGGUGUAAGCCAGGUUGGUUUCUAUCUUAAAUUUAUUGGGUUAGUUUAGUACGAAAGGACCAUCUAAUUUAUUAUUGAAAUUU